RNAcentral lists this ribosomal RNA (755 nucleotides) under Janibacter sp. RNAcentral describes it as "bacterial SSU rRNA". It matches the Rfam family "Bacterial small subunit ribosomal RNA", at positions 88 to 855 of the family's 1533-position model. Lineage: Bacteria; Bacillati; Actinomycetota; Actinomycetes; Micrococcales; Intrasporangiaceae. The record is from RNAcentral.
UGGAUCAGUGGCGAACGGGUGAGUAACACGUGAGCAACCUGCCCCGGACUCUGGAAUAAGCGCUGGAAACGGCGUCUAAUACUGGAUAUGACACCAAUCCGCAUGGGUAUGGUGUGGAAAGUUUUUCGGUCUGGGAUGGGCUCGCGGCCUAUCAGCUUGUUGGUGAGGUAAUGGCUCACCAAGGCGACGACGGGUAGCCGGCCUGAGAGGGCGACCGGCCACACUGGGACUGAGACACGGCCCAGACUCCUACGGGAGGCAGCAGUGGGGAAUAUUGCACAAUGGGCGAAAGCCUGAUGCAGCGACGCCGCGUGAGGGAUGACGGCCUUCGGGUUGUAAACCUCUUUCAGCAGGGAAGAAGCGAAAGUGACGGUACCUGCAGAAGAAGCACCGGCUAACUACGUGCCAGCAGCCGCGGUAAUACGUAGGGUGCGAGCGUUGUCCGGAAUUAUUGGGCGUAAAGAGCUUGUAGGCGGUUUGUCGCGUCUGCUGUGAAAAUCCGGGGCUCAACCCCGGACUUGCAGUGGGUACGGGCAGACUAGAGUGUGGUAGGGGAGACUGGAAUUCCUGGUGUAGCGGUGAAAUGCGCAGAUAUCAGGAGGAACACCGAUGGCGAAGGCAGGUCUCUGGGCCACUACUGACGCUGAGAAGCGAAAGCAUGGGGAGCGAACAGGAUUAGAUACCCUGGUAGUCCAUGCCGUAAACGUUGGGCGCUAGGUGUGGGACUCAUUCCACGAGUUCCGUGCCGCAGCUAA